Non-coding RNA from Peromyscus maniculatus bairdii (prairie deer mouse), 1968 nucleotides. The record is from RefSeq and is a predicted model, not a curated record. Lineage: Eukaryota; Metazoa; Chordata; Mammalia; Rodentia; Cricetidae.
GUGUCUCCUCCUCCUUCUGUGUCUAUGGUGUGUCUUCUUCAAGUGUCUCCUCCUUCUGUGUCUGGUGUGUCUUCUUCAAGUGUCUUCUCCUCCUUCUGUGUCUAUGGUAUGUCUUCCUCAAGUAUCUUUUCUUCCUCCUUCUGUGUCUAUGGUGUGUCUUCCUCAAGUAUCUUUUCCUCCUCCUCUGUCUAUGGUGUGUCUUCCUCAAGUAUCUUUUCCUCCUCCUCUGUCUAUGGUGUGUCUUCCGUAGUCCCAUGUUUCUUCCUUGUAUUGCUUUGAGCUUUGUCUGGUUUUCUCCUCUGACGCUUGUGUGAUCUGUGCCUUGUCUUGGUCUGUUUUUCUCUCUGCUUGCUCUUUCUCUUAGCUCUUCUUUCACUCUUUCUGCCUUCUAUGACUCCCCUUUGGGUCCCACGUUGCACGCAUCCCUCUGCUUCCUUUGUGCUCGCUCGCUCGCCUCACUUGUUUUUGUCUGUGUGAUCUGUUUGUCAGCCCUUUGACUCAACAUUUCCCAUUUUCCUUUCUGCUGUUUCUGUCCUUAGCACAUGCUUCUCUUCAUUACACCUCCUUUCUGCCUUGGGCUCUUUUCUCUCUUCCGUCUUUGUAGCUGUGUCUUUGCUGUUGGUGAGUUCUGAUCUCGGCAUUACUCCAUUGCGCUGUGCUCGCUUAUGCUUCUUUCUUUCUCUUCUGCUUUUCCCUCUUUCUACUCACGUGGAGCAUUUCAGUCUCUUUACAAGUCUGUGUGUCUCGCUCUCUUACUCUAAUGUAAUCCUCUCUUGGAUAUUUCUCUCUCUUUCUUUCUCUCUCUCUCUCUCUCUCUCUCUCUCUCUCUCUCUCUCUGUGUAUGUGUGUGUGUGUGUGUGUGUGUGUGUGUGUGUGAUAGAGGGUCUUCCUAGCCCCUUCCAAUAGGUGCAGAAUGUCACCUCAUGCCAGACUGCCCUGCGAAAUAACCCAAGACAAACACAGCACCACAGUCAGGACUGGAGUAGAUCUGAGAUGAACACGUGUAAAGGCCCAAAGUGGAAGACAGAUGUUCUGUGACUCGCGACUUAAGGACCAAGACACACAGAAGGCUUAUCUGAACUGGCUGGAAGGUUCGUGUCUUAAGCUGGAUGGACAGAAUGCUGACAACCCAAAGGAGAGAGACUGUUUCCACAGGACCCAUGCGAAGUCUAAGAAGUGAGACCCGCGUCCUAAGACACAACCUGAGCUAAGUCCAAGCCAAAGAACUAAGGACUCCAGCCUAUGUGGACAUAAGGCCUAAGAGAUAAAGGGUAGAAGUUGGAGGCCUCUAGCCUAAACCUCUGGAGGGCCAGAAUCCUAGGACCAGGGGAGAGCUGAAGCCGAGACCCUCCCACUGACGUUCGUACUGUUAAAUCCCUUUCCUUCUCUAGGACAUUCCCAGCACUCUGUUCUAUCUCUUAGGUUUCCGUUUGAGCCAGCUCUGCUGGAGAUGUACUUGUCAAUGUUGUCCUUUGCCGGAAAGGAACAAGCUUUUAGACUGACAGUAUUGUGCGCGGGUCGGUCGUUAAUCUGUUUUAAAGCUGAUUUUAGCCAUUUGUUAAAUGUUUGUGUUUUAAAACUUCCAUUUCUCUUCACAUCUGCUCCACUUGAGAGAGAAAACAAAAUCCAGCCAGUGGUAUCUAGUCUGACUUUUGCUAUUCCCCUAGGAGCAAGCAUCCAUACAGCCAGAUACUGUACUUCCAUCCUCCCUAACUCAGAAGUCCUAGGCUAUGAGAAAGGGAAGCAUCAGAAUAUUGGGGAAAACAAUAUCAGGCUAUCUAGAGAAAAUAUGAAGACAUGCUCCAGACCGAUGAGAAGAAUUAGACAAGUAAGAUGCAAGUGUGCCAACCCCUGAGAAGCACCAGCCAGCAUCCCCUUCCUUCUCUGGGCUUAGUUUCUGCGAUCACUACAGCUUUAAAAAAAAAAAGAGCAUCUUAUUGUCAUCUGCUUUGGUUACAUAAAUGAACU